RNAcentral lists this unclassified non-coding RNA (221 nucleotides) under uncultured Actinomycetes bacterium. Its description in RNAcentral is "uncultured actinobacterium contains 16S-23S intergenic spacer region". The record is from RNAcentral. Lineage: Bacteria; Bacillati; Actinomycetota; Actinomycetes.
UCCGAGUUGACCCCGGCAGUCUUCGAUGAGUCCCCGCCAUAACGCGCUGGCAACAUCGAACGAGGGUUGCGCUCGUUGCGGGACUUAACCCAACAUCUCACGACACGAGCUGACGACAGCCAUGCAGCAUCUGUGGCGCACCCUCGAAGGUCACACGUUUCCGUGCGCUUGCAGCGCCAUGUCAAGCCCAGGUAAGGUUCUUCGCGUUGUGGAAGCAAGCU